Oreochromis niloticus (Nile tilapia) is the source of this 768-nucleotide long non-coding RNA. RefSeq lists it as uncharacterized. NCBI's taxonomy places the organism in Eukaryota, Metazoa, Chordata, Actinopteri, Cichliformes, Cichlidae. The transcript is spliced from 3 exons. The record is from RefSeq and is a predicted model, not a curated record.
AUGUGAUGUAAUGCAAGAAAAGUAGAGGUGAAUGGAUGGAUAAUACAAUAAUAAAAUGUCAUAAAAUAACUGCACCUGUCAGCAGAGCAGCUGAACUAGAACAGCAGUCGUACAUUUAUUUACAAACCCCACGUGUACAGGGCAGGAUGUGCAAUGGUCCAGGGGAAAAGGGACAAAGUCCAACACACACUCCGCUCACUCGCUCCUCUCGUAUUUGUUUUCAGCACACUCACUCUCACUCCACUCCACGCCACCAGGGAAACAGAUCGGGGUCACGGACGAGUCCGAGAACCAAAGCCCAAGAGCACUGCGUUUCCCAGCAUGCCUUGGCUGUGCUCAUGGAAGUGAAUGAGGGGGAAAGAUCUGUCCUGCUGCCCUGUCAGUACUCGGAUUUCAUACCUGGUGAUCUCAGAGGACAAAAGCAGCGUUACAGCGGCGCACAUCGAUGAGAGCUGACGCUCUCAACACUUCAGACCUCCGCCUGUCUCUGAGAAAACCAACAAUGGCUGUCAGCAGCAACUACACCUGCUCCACCAGUGCUGGGAGAGAAGAGCUGAGACUGACAGCUCUUUGUACAGGCCUUCACCUCCUCAUUCAUCCACAGUCUGCCUCCCUCUGCUCCAUCAGCUGACGUCCUCUGUACAACUACCUGCUGUGUGCACAUCUUUGAUUUCUUCUUCUUUUAUCCUGCAAAGCUCAAACUUCACUAUAAUACAAAGACAUUUCAGAAACGCUGCACUGAGUGAAAGAUAACAGCAGUGACCUAAA